CAAUAAUUCUUUUAGUUUUGAGGAACCUCCACACUGUUUUCCAUAGUGGCUGAACCAGUUGACAUUCCCACCAGCAAUGUACAAGGCACAAUUGACCUCCACCAAUUCAUCAACUGUGCUUUCUGACUUCCUCUAUCUAUCUGGCAACUAAUUGCAUCUAUCCCAGGGAUCUCAGGUGUGCUCACAGAAACACCACAAGAAUAAUGCAACCCAUGUGAUAAGAUUCCUUGUGAACUCAAUUUGACUUUAGAUUUUGUUAUGUGGAUGUGAAUCGCCCGGGAAGACACUCUAUGUUUGCAAGAAUUCACUGG
Lagenorhynchus albirostris (white-beaked dolphin) is the source of this 311-nucleotide long non-coding RNA. RefSeq lists it as uncharacterized. The transcript is spliced from 3 exons. Lineage: Eukaryota; Metazoa; Chordata; Mammalia; Artiodactyla; Delphinidae. The record is from RefSeq and is a predicted model, not a curated record.